This 775-nucleotide ribosomal RNA is filed under the name uncultured Neocallimastigales. RNAcentral describes it as "partial large subunit ribosomal RNA". It matches the Rfam family "Eukaryotic large subunit ribosomal RNA", at positions 20 to 627 of the family's 3401-position model. Lineage: Eukaryota; Fungi; Neocallimastigomycota; Neocallimastigomycetes; Neocallimastigales. The record is from RNAcentral.
UACUAGAGUAGCACUCGCAUAUCAAUAAGCGGAGGAAAAGAAACUAACAAGGAUUCCCCCUAGUAACGGCGAGUGAAGCGGGAAGAGCUCAAAUUUGAAAUCUUAAAGGGUUUCCCUUUACGAAUUGUAGUUUAAAGAAGUGUUUUCUGUUGAGGUUUUGGUAAAAGUUCUUUGGAAUAGGACAUCAUAGAGGGUGAGAAUCCCGUAUUUGACCUUUACUUUCAACUUUGUGAUACACUUUCAAAGAGUCGGAUUGUUUGGGAAUGCAGUCCAAAAUGGGUGGUAAAUUUCAUCUAAAGCUAAAUAUUGGCGAGAGACCGAUAGCGAACAAGUACCGUGAGGGAAAGAUGAAAAGAACUUUGAAAAGAGAGUUAAACAGUACGUGAAAUUGUCAAAAGGGAAGCGUUUGACACCAGUGUUGUUUUUCUGAAAAUCAAUUAAAGAACUGUUUGUGCUAAGCUGUUUAGACUUUAUCAGCUAUCUGUUUAGUUUUGAGCUUUUCUUUAAUGCACUUUUCAGUUAACAAGUCAACAUCAAUUUCUUUUGCUGUAAAAAAGCUUGAGGAAGGUGGCUUGAGAUUCGUCUUAAGUGUUUAUAGCCUCUUGCCUAUGCAGUCGGAGAGAUUGAGGUCUGCAGCGUAGAUCCUUCGGGGCUAAAUGCAUUUGUGCUAAGUUAUAGCAUUUUAUAGACAACUUGUUGACUAUGAUUUGUCUUGUAGCUUACUCGCUUAUGUUAUUUUACCUACGCUUAGGAUGUUGAACUCUAUCACACACAG